This 2784-nucleotide ribosomal RNA is filed under the name Pomacea canaliculata. RNAcentral describes it as "18S ribosomal RNA". The record is from RNAcentral. Lineage: Eukaryota; Metazoa; Mollusca; Gastropoda; Architaenioglossa; Ampullariidae.
UCGAUAACGCGACGCGGCUGGCCGAAAGGAGCACGACGAACCCCUCUCUCUGCUCAACAGCCACGCUGAGCGUGGGGAACGCGACAGCGAAAGCCGCGCGAAUCGCCAGCGAGCCAACCCGUACCACACCUUCUUCGGUCCGCGUAGAAAACCGGCUCGCGGUAGGACGGGACGCAGACAACGAUCGCUUUCGACCGAGGGCGUCGCACGCCGAGCGAGCACUCAUUUGCCAACGCAAAAUCCAAAACUGGGUGAGCACUACAUGGCUAAUAGUAACCUUUCUCUAUCGCCAUGUUCACUUUCUCGCGCCUUUCGGCACACCUGCUCCCCAUAUAUAUAGCGCCAACUCUUCCCUUCCCUGCCUUGUGCCACGCUCCCCUUGCACCAGGCCCUCGCACAGCAGACCUCCGCACCAGACCCUCCUGUUCGGUAAACUUGAAGGAAACGAGUUCCCCUAAGCUUCCAGUACAAAAUGAAGUUACUAAUGACUAGAAGUGUGUUUUCAAUGUGUUGCACAAGACCAUCCGCUUUCUCACCAGACCCUCCGCUCGAACGAAGCCGUACAUUUUACAAGUUUUGCACCAACGCCUCCUCACCAGGACCCUCCCCUGCGAACGAACGUAUUUAUUUUACAAGUUUGGCACCAGGCCCUCCGCACCAGACCCUCCGCCGAGACACAGUCAAGCGUUAUUCGAUGCGCCGACGCGGCUGGCCGAAAAGAGCCACGACGAACCCCUCUGUGCUCAACCAGGCGUGCGCCUGAGCCGUGAGAAACGCGGCAGCUGAAAGCCGCGAUCACCUCAAGCCAACCCGUACCAGACCUCUUCGGUCCGCUUUCGAAACCGGCUCGCAGAUGACGGGACGCAGACAACGAUCGCUUCGACCGAGGGGUUCCAAAUUCCUUCGCACGACAACCGCAAGCGAGCGCUCAUUUGCAGAUGAAAAAUACAAAACUGGGUGGCAUUUCAUAUAUAGAAACCUUUAUCUCCCACGUCCCUUUCGGCGCACCUUUCAGGACGCCUGCUUCCCAUGUAUAUAGCGCCGACCUUAACAUACCUGCCUUGUGCCACGAUCUCCCCCAGUUGCCAUGCCAGGGUCCCUCCGGGCACCUGAGCUCCUGUGCACGGCCCUCCGGGUACCUGACCCUCUCUUAGGCAUCAACCCCUCCGGGCACCUGACCUUGUUCCUAGGCACAGACCUCCGGACCUGUUUGACCCUCCCAGGCACCAGCCCCUCCGGGCACCUGACCCCUCGCUAGGCACCAGGCCCUCCGGGCACCUGACCCUCCCUAGGCACCAGGCCCUCCGGGGGCACUCCUGACCCUCCCUAGGCACCAGGCCUCCGGGCACCUGACCUUGAUUACUCGUUGAUAGAAGAAUUUCAAGCCCCCAAUCCCUAUCACGAAAGGAGCUUCGUUCAAAGGAUUCGCACUGUUUCAAAGCAUGGUCUCAGUUCACCUUGAUCCUUCUAAGCAGCAGACCUUUUAUUGGAGUGUCAAUCUCUUGUAGGCUAAACGCCACUUUCCUCUCUAAGAAGUUAGCACGAUGCGUGAUGUUAGAAUCGGUGAACUAUUUAUACAGGCUAGAGACUCGCCCGUUAUCGGAAUUAAUCAAACAAAUCGCUCCACCACCUAAGAACGGCCAUGCGCACCACCCUACCGAAUCAAGAAAAAAGAUAUCAAUUUGGUCCUGUCAAUGCUUAGUCGUCCAGUGUGCGGACUGGGUGUGUUUUUACCACGUAGCUCUUCGUUGAUCCCUGUUGAAUCAAAAUUAGCCGCAGGCUCCACUCCUGGUUGGUGACCUUCCUGUUCUUUAUAUGCUUUGUUCCUAAGUUUCAUUGCAACCAUACUUCCGCUGGAAUCCCGAAAAGUUUGGUUCAGAGUCAUGAAACGACACUUGCACAACGCUAGUUGGCAUCGUUUAUGCUUUAUUAUGGUUUCAGAACAUGACAGUAUUUAUCGUCUUCGAACUCUGACUAGUUCUUGACUAAUGAAAAAUAUGGUGUGCUUGGCAAAUGCUUUCGCAGUUGUUCGUCUUGCGAAGCGACCCUUUGCGAAGAGCCGCGCACGCGUCAGGUUCGCGCAGUGACCGUCGCGAGACGGACCGCACGAACAUGCCUCAGAUGCAACUACGAGCUUUUUAAGCGCAAGGGACUUUAAUAUGAGCGCACAAUUGGAACUGUCAUUAGCACGGCUGCUGGCACCAGACUUGCCCUCCAAUAGAUCCUCGUUAAAGGCGGGUUUUAAAAGUGUACUCGUUCCAAUUGCGGAGCGCAGGCCUCAAAGAUCCGUAUUUGCUAUUUUUCGUCACUCUACCUCUCCCCUAGGCCGGAGUGGUAAGUUGCGCGCCUUGGUGGUGCCUUCCUUGGAUGUGUGGUAUACGCUUUCUCAUGCUCCCUCUCCGAAUCACACCCUGAUUCCCCGUUGUCAACAUGGUAGGUCUAUCACGUACCAUCGACAGUUGAUAACGGGCAGACGUUAUUUGAAAGAUGCUCGCCUGCUCGGCCAUGCAGCAUGCGAUCGCACAAAGUUAUCCAGAGUCAGUUAAAAGGACGGGGCCGAGACCCCGACUGAUUUUUUUUGAACUAAAUAAAAGCGCUCUUUCCCGGCUUUGACGGUCGGAGUUGGUUUGCGAUGUAUUAGCUCUAGAAUUGCCACAGUUUCCAAGUAAGAAAUGGAUCAUCUAAGGAACCUCGACUGAUUUCAUGAGCCAUUCGCGGUUUCAGCCGUAGAGGCAUGGCUUAAUCUUUGAGACAAGCAUAUGACUACUGUAGGAUCAACCAGAA